GCCCCAGGGCCUUUCAGAAGGGCGGCCAGCAGAGGGACAGAGCAGCCUUCCAAGGAGGCCAAGAAAGGUUUGAACUUUCAUGAGGCUCAGCUUGGAGGCCGUGCCCUACCCUCACCCACUCCCCCAGAGCACUGAUAACCCCGACCUCUCCCACUGCAAAUCUCCUCUCCUGGCCUGUCCUCUCCCCUUCUUUCGCAGCUGCAGCUGCCGCCAGCCUCUCCCUCUCCUCCCUCCACCCCUUGCCAUCCCCAGGGAGCAGUGAGCUCAGCCUUUCCCAUCAGCCAUCCCUGGGAAUGAUGGGAAAUGCGAGGCAGGCCAGGAACCAGCAGAGGCCUGCCCCAGAGAGGGAGGAGGAGAACACGGGCCUUUCUGAGGGCCACUGGGGGCGUCUUGGGGGCAGGGCUCCAUUCUGCUGCUUGCGAUGAAGCCCAGGCUGCGUUAAGAGCACAGUCUGCCUGUCCUUACCACUGGCUGUAAAUAAGGUGGGAUCCAACUGCUGGAGCUGGGAUGGGCCUCUUUUUCUGGAUGGGGAGACAGAAGUCCAGAGAGAGGAGGGAAAGGAAGUAUGUCUGGGAGCUGACUGCCACAUCCCAGGCACUGUUGGAGCCUUUCACGUCCUUUGUCUCAUUGGAUCCUUACCACUACCCUGCAAGAGGCAAGAGGAGCCACUGGGCGCCGAGCACUCUUCCUGCAGGCGACGCUGUGCUGGGCUUCUGUGCAAUGACUUCUACCUCUGCGCAGCCACCUGAGGGGACCGGGAGACCCAUCCUGCUGAAGGGGAAACUGAGGUCUGUGGAGAGUACUAAGUUAUUGGGCGACUGUUUAUGCAGCAAAAGACAAGUGCAACGACUCAUUGAAAUUUACAUGGGAGGAACCUCCCCUCCCCCAAGAAGCUGCACCUUAGCCACAAGAAAGGUGCUCAGAGUACAGCAGGCAGCUGCCGAGCCUCGGACAUUUGCAACUUCCAGGAUUCUGCCUUUGGAGAGCCAUCGGAGAGCUUCAAAGCUAAUCAUCUCAGCAUUAUUUACAAUAGCAAAAAAAAAAAAAAAAAAAAAAAAACAACAAAAAAAACUAGAAGUCACAUCAAUGCUAAAUAAGGAGAAGAUUCAAUAAACUGUGGAGCAUUUGCAA
This is a long non-coding RNA of Felis catus (domestic cat), 1131 nucleotides long. RefSeq lists it as uncharacterized. Lineage: Eukaryota; Metazoa; Chordata; Mammalia; Carnivora; Felidae. The record is from RefSeq and is a predicted model, not a curated record. The transcript has 3 exons.